This 797-nucleotide ribosomal RNA is filed under the name uncultured bacterium. Its description in RNAcentral is "bacterial SSU rRNA". It matches the Rfam family "Bacterial small subunit ribosomal RNA", at positions 8 to 796 of the family's 1533-position model. The record is from RNAcentral.
AGAGUUUGAUCAUGGCUCAGAUUGAACGCUGGCGGCAUGCCUUACACAUGCAAGUCGAACGGCAGCACGGGGGCAACCCUGGUGGCGAGUGGCGAACGGGUGAGUAAUACAUCGGAACGUGUCCUGUUGUGGGGGGAUAACCCACCGAAAGGUGAGCUAAUACCGCAUGACCUGGAAACAGUAAAGCGGGGGACCGCAAGGCCUCGCGCGAUUGGAGCGGCCGAUGUCCGAUUAGCUAGUUGGUGGGGUAAAGGCCCACCAAGGCGACGAUCGGUAGCUGGUCUGAGAGGAUGAUCAGCCACACUGGGACUGAGACACGGCCCAGACUCCUACGGGAGGCAGCAGUGGGGAAUUUUGGACAAUGGGGGCAACCCUGAUCCAGCCAUGCCGCGUGAGUGAAGAAGGCCUUCGGGUUGUAAAGCUCUUUCGGUGGGAACGAAACGGUUCGUGCUAACACCACGGACUAAUGACGGUACUCACAGAAAGAAAGCACCGGCUAACUACGUGCCAGCAGCCGCGGUAAUACGUAGGGUGCGAGCGUUAAUCGGAAUUACUGGGCGUAAAGCGUGCGCAGGCGGUUACUUAAGUCAGGUGUGAAAUCCCUGGGCUUAACCUAGGAAUUGCGCUUGAGACUGGGUAGCUUGGAGUGCGGCAGAGGGAGGUGGAAUUCCACGUGUAGCAGUGAAAUGCGUAGAGAUGUGGUGGAACACCGAUGGCGAAGGCAGCCUCCUGGGCCAGCACUGACGCUCAUGCACGAAAGCGUGGGGAGCAAACAGGAUUAGAUACCCUAGUAGUCC